AACCGUUAUAACCGGCGAUACCCGAAUGGGGAAACCCAGUGUGACUCGUCACACUAUCAUUAACUGAAUCCAUAGGUUAAUGAGGCGAACCGGGGGAACUGAAACAUCUAAGUACCCCGAGGAAAAGAAAUCAACCGAGAUUCCCCCAGUAGCGGCGAGCGAACGGGGAGGAGCCCAGAGCCUGAAUCAGCAUGUGUGUUAGUGGAAGCGUCUGGAAAGGCGCGCGAUACAGGGUGACAGCCCCGUACACAAAAGCGCAUGUGCUGUGAGCUCGAUGAGUAGGGCGGGACACGUGGUAUCCUGUCUGAAUAUGGGGGGACCAUCCUCCAAGGCUAAAUACUCCUGACUGACCGAUAGUGAACCAGUACCGUGAGGGAAAGGCGAAAAGAACCCCGGCGAGGGGAGUGAAAAAGAACCUGAAACCGU
Molecule: ribosomal RNA, 426 nt
Filed under: Salmonella enterica
Lineage: Bacteria; Pseudomonadati; Pseudomonadota; Gammaproteobacteria; Enterobacterales; Enterobacteriaceae
Also listed under: 5 other names
Description: partial 23S ribosomal RNA
Rfam family: Bacterial large subunit ribosomal RNA
Source: RNAcentral